UGAACCGGUUCAAAAAGAAAAAAAUACAAAGGAAACAUAUAGCAGUAGGGUUUCCUAAAUGAGUGAACUUCAGCUCCUUUCCUUUGUUGCUCCACCUCCUUCUCAAUGGCUACCCUUGCAAUUCCUUAAUUCGUGUUUCUCUUGCUAUUGGUGAUAAACACCUUGUCUUGAUUGGAUAUAGCAUCUUGUCUUCCAGCUUGCAAGACUGCGUUCGCCAGAGCGAGGGUACCCUGUUUGAUUUUUGGUGCUAACACUUGUGGUCUGAUCAGCUGAACUUUGGUAUUUAAUCCAAUUAUGAAAGAGAGAGAGAUCGUAUGGUGCUAGGACCUACGUGUAGUUGAAGAAAAUAAAAAAACUCAACCGCUUGUAUUGAAAAUCUGCCAUGAAGACCACCUCAUCUACUGAGAGUCCUUUUUGUUUGGCUGGUGUAUCUAGGCUAAGUAGUAUUUUUAACUUUUUGUAUAGUUGAAUAGGUUGUAAAUAAGCUUCCCCUUGCUUUAACCUUCCCAGUCUAUCUAGCAUGUUGAUACUGCUAAUCUCAGAUAACAUCUUUGUUGUUUAUCACUAUUUAAAAUCUUUCUUCCUGAACUUGGUAAUUGAAUGAAGGAUGUAUAUAUGAAUUGCUCAUGCUCCAAUGCUGUGUUAGCUAGAUAAUCUGCUAACUGAUUUUCCUCCC
Molecule: long non-coding RNA, 676 nt
Organism: Capsicum annuum
Lineage: Eukaryota; Viridiplantae; Streptophyta; Magnoliopsida; Solanales; Solanaceae
Exons: 3
Source: RefSeq, a predicted model, not a curated record